UGCUAGAUGACUUUAUGUACUAUGAAAACCGUCAAAAGAUCAUGCAAGAUGAGAAAGCAAAGUUCAUGAUCAAGAGUUUUGAAAGUCCAUUUAUACCACCUUUGGAAGCUCCACGUAAGUUAAAUUUUGUUGUGAACACACCUGGGGUCAAUGAUGACAAGAAUUCAAAGCCUAAGGAGGAUGUUGGUAGCUUAAAGCAAACUUCAACUUCCAGUUUUGAGCAAAUUGUCAACACUUCUAAUGUCCCUAGCAUCAAGUCAGUUGAUGACAAGGUUGAGAAAGUUGAAGUUGACAAAGAAGAUAUUUCUUCUAUUUUAAAGAUUGGCUCAGUCACUAUUACCCCAAAACUAGUUGGAAAAAAGCAAUCCCUUGGUUCUAGUAAUAAAGAACCAACUGAUGUUGUUACAGUAGGGUCAAUGCAAGUCAAAGUUAAAGGAUUUGCAGAAUCUUCUGGUAUCUUGAAGGUUGGCAGUAUCCCACUUGAUACUAGAUCAUUGCAACCAAGGAAAGGAGAUGGUGCUAUUAAAAAUGGAUCUCAACGUUAAAUUUUGCAUCUGCAUUUUGAAGGCACUGUUUGGUUCUUGUUUUAUUUUUGGUGAAGUUGGAUUAAUAUCUCUACCCAAUUGUAUAAAACAAUUGGGAAUUUGAGUUUCUCUUCCAUCUUUUCUCACUGCUCUUUUGGAUUUUCUUGAGACUGAAGUGAUGCCAUUGGUCUUGGAAAGGUGUUAGUGCUGACUCAAAAGUUUCAUGAAAGUAUAACCUCUUUUUUGCUUUGAGAAAAAUGCUUAAACUUUCGUCCAACUCCAUUUUCUGUGAUUCGGCUAUAUUAACAAUAUUUCAUGUCCGUUCUAUUGUCUUUGAAAGUAUUUCAUUUGGUUUUAAAGAUGAGGAACUGUAAUAAUUACUGAAUUAGAGCUUCAUUUUAAGAACAUAUAAUAUCUUUGUUUGGUUAUCUUGUCUCUUUUAUAGCUUGAAUGACUCUGUUUUCCAUCUUUCUACCUUGCUGUGUUUUAAUCUAUAGGAAUGAAAUUAUUAGGUGGUCUUUAGGAUGCAUCACACUGCCAUCCAAUAUUAUUAGGUGAUGUAUAAUGGCAUUCAACUUGGAAUAUGAUGUGUGUGGAGCUAUUUUCUCUAUGACACCAACAUCAUGACUCAAUUUUAGUCUCACUUCAAAUAAAUCCUAGCUGUUAGUUGCUAAGGUCGGCUACAUUUGUCUUAAAUAAUGUUAAUGUACAACAAUUGGUUUAAUUCUAAGAGAGAAAGUCUCAUCAAGAAGUUUUGCUUAUGUUUUUUUCUUGGUGUCCCUCUAAAAAUAUUAGAUUAACAUUCAUUUGAUAUAAUCUUCUUAAUCAUGCUUCUAACGUUCUCUCCAUAUAAUCAAACCACAUAAGAUAUAAUUCUACCUUAUUUUCUAUAAUAGGAAUUAACCCAACUUUUUCAUACUUAUUACAAUGUAGGUCCCUAAAAAAUAGACCAAAUUCCUAUAUAUCAUGUCUACUCAUCACACACCAUGGCAGUACACCCAAACAUGGGGACGAAUCCUAAGUAACAAACAUAAGAUCACAACUCAUAACAAUUUACUAUUAUGGUAUAUAUUCCAUAUAAGCUAAGCAAGCACAAAUAUAAGGUAACAUGUCCUUAACUGCAUUCAUAUUCAGAGAGCUCUCCCACUGUGUCAGGUACAAGAAGCUGCAUAAUGCUUAUGAUGAUGCAAAGAAAAUAGCAGCUGAAAAAUCUGGAGUCUGUCCUGUCUUCCUAUUUUUUUCUGUGAGUUUCCAUUAUGAUGUUUCAAUGAGUUUUGAUUCUGGUUUUUUCUUAUUUUUUAUAUGCAAGCCAAUUCCAUUAUGCUUGCCACACUGACAUUUCAUUUUAUUUUUUAUUUAAUGCAGGUUAAUGCAAGUGGUCAGUUCUGUGGGGUUGCUGAGAUGUCUGGUCCAGUUGAUUAUAACAAGGAUAUGAACUUUUGGCAGCAAGAUAAAUGGAGUGGGAGCUUCCCUGUAAAAUGGCACUUCAUUAAAGACAUUCAAAAUUCAAAUUUUAGGCACAUUAUAUUAGAGAACAACGAGCACAAGCCAGUGACUAAUAGUAGAGACACUCAAGAGGUAUACAUAUCAUUAUUAUUUCUGCCUAGCAACUCUUGUUAAAUUAAGAAUUGGCAGGAUUUCUCUUAACCUUUAACAUGAGUCUGUAAGUUUAUACUUGAGUAGUUUCCUUAAACUUGUUACAUGUGUUUGUGGUUUCAUUGUGGCUUUGUUUUGAUUCAUUAUAUUUUUCCUUUAUUACUUAGUUCAAACAUUGACUAUUAAAUGUCCCUUGCCUAUGCGCAGAUAAUGUAUCAGAAAGGUUUAGAAAUGCUGAAAAUAUUCAAAAACCAUACUUUGAAGACAUCUUUGCUAGAUGACUUUAUGUACUAUGAAAACCGUCAAAAGAUCAUGCAAGAUGAGAAAGCAAAGUUCAUGAUCAAGAGUUUUGAAAGUCCAUUUAUACCACCUUUGGAAGCUCCACGUAAGUUAAAUUUUGUUGUGAACACACCUGGGGUCAAUGAUGACAAGAAUUCAAAGCCUAAGGAGGAUGUUGGUAGCUUAAAGCAAACUUCAACUUCCAGUUUUGAGCAAAUUGUCAACACUUCUAAUGUCCCUAGCAUCAAGUCAGUUG
This 2655-nucleotide long non-coding RNA is filed under the name Lupinus angustifolius (narrow-leaved blue lupine). RNAcentral describes it as "long non-coding RNA (LANG_LNC000605)". Lineage: Eukaryota; Viridiplantae; Streptophyta; Magnoliopsida; Fabales; Fabaceae. The record is from RNAcentral.